Esox lucius (northern pike) is the source of this 2674-nucleotide long non-coding RNA. RefSeq lists it as uncharacterized. The record is from RefSeq and is a predicted model, not a curated record. The transcript is spliced from 3 exons. NCBI's taxonomy places the organism in Eukaryota, Metazoa, Chordata, Actinopteri, Esociformes, Esocidae.
CCAAUAUUGCACUCGUCCCGGCCUCCCGGACCCAGGGGAUUCCAUCUUCAACAGAGGAACUCAGAAAGGUUGUUAUCCUUUUUUCUCCUCCCCCAAUAUAUGAAAGAGCACUUUAAGGGCUACUUUAAUUCAAAAUCACUACAGCACAUUUUAUUACAGCACAUUUUUUUUGAAUUAUUUAGAGAUGCAUAUUUCUGAAUUUUGUAACACAUACCCACCCAUAACUAUGUCUCAAGACCAAGGUGAUUGCUGGGUAUGUAAUUGGCCCGUACUGACCCAAUUAAUGUUUCGUCAAUAAAGCACGAUGGGGGGUGUGGUAUAGGGUCAAUAUACUACAGCUGUGGUCUGAAUACUCCCCAGCUUUUAGCCAAUCAGUAUUCAGGAUUAAAAGCACCUGGUUUAUAAUUAUAACAAACGCAUGGCAUGCUAUUGGAGAAUCCCAGGGAAUAUAUUCAGCAUAGUUGGUAACCCUCUGCUUCCAACCGCUCCCACUGUCCCCACCUGACCACUGGCUGGCUAGCUGCCACUUGAGAACUUUUGCCAACUCCAACAAGGCUUGAUUCCAACCCACUAAGUAUUUCCUUUGCCUCGGCCCUUGUGGCCUCAUGCUGAAAUUUCCCACAUAUUGGGUUCGAAAGCAAUGCAGUAUUGCACCAAUUCUGGCCAAAAAACUGGGAUGACUAUUUCAGUAGCCCAUUUUGCAUCUCACACUUGAGAGAGAAUGUUUGCAAGGAUAGAGCAAAGAUAAUUAAUAAUAUGACUGGAACCGAGCAACAAUAGUCUGCAGUCAUAACAGGAACCUACAAUGUGCUUUAGGUGUAGGGGUCAAUUGUAUGACAUGCCAUAGAAUAAUGCUAUCUUACUGGCAUUUCAAACACUCAUUUGUUUUCAGUGCUGUCCUUAGCAGGGUAACUUGUAUAUUUCGGUUUUUUACUACAGUGAAAGGUAACACUUUAUUAUAUAGCAGUUUAACCACCCGUUCAUAUGGUGUUCUUGUUGAGUUAUUAAAGUCUUACUACAAUAGCGGCAUAAUAGCAAGGUCAUUGUGGGACAGAUUAUAAAUCAAAUUAAACAUUGCAUGUACAUGGACUUCUAUGUCUAGCAAAUAAGAUACAAGCAGACAGCAAGGAAAUGCUAGGCAAUAGAUACAGGUGGUACCUGUCUCCACAUACAGGAUGUGGGCACAGAACAGCAUUAAAACUCACAGUAGCUCUUGAUAUCAAUCUAGUUUUUAUAAGCAUAAUUUUCCAUUUGCAUGUUGUGUACAGUAUCACAAAUUUCAAAUAAAUGUAUUUUAAGAAAUGUAAUCGUUUAUACUUUUUUGUAGACAAAGACUGUGUUGCUCUUUGCUAUGCUCCUGUUUAAUGAAUUAGCUAGAGAUUACAUAGUUCAUAAAAACAUUUACUUUAAGGCUUUAUUCCAUGUUAAAUUACUGGUAAAACUAUAAUCCACAGAGGUCCAAAAUUAUUCAAAACAAGAAAACGCUGAAGUUCCACUAUUAGAGGCAUGAAGUGACAUAUCUACAUUUCUUUUGUGACAAAUAUGUAUUCCGCUGCUGUGACAUCAUUAUCUGGUAAUGAAAGUGUUUCCGGAGCAUGUACAGUAUUUAUCCAAUUCCAAUCCCUGUAACGUUAGCUUAUGCUUCUUGUACAGUUACUUAGUUUUUUUAAAAACUCUCAAACCGUUCCAUCUUAAAAUCAUCAGUGUGUUCCUCUGAUAGCUGGAAACACAGCACUCAUACGUAAUGCAACUGUCAAACUCAACAGAGGUCAUUCACACAACCACAAUUUAUAUACAGUACAACAGGACUGAGGGCAAAGACUGCAACUCAAACCCAGCAGUCAAAAAUGUUAUUUAUAAUGAUAAUGUAUAAUCUCUGGUAACCUUCCGCUUUUCCAGUUUGAUGGAAAGUUAAGGAUGUAAAUAACUGGUUCUUUUUACACCUUUAUCACAACUCAGAAACCUCUCCCACUUUGCUCAUUGGCAGACAGUCACACACACUUAACAGCAGUGGGCCGUCUGAAUAGUUCCUCACAGGAUGACGAUUCACAGUGGUCACGCUCCACUACUACGGCUGGCGGCAGGGUGAGGAUGGGAGUCUUACCGUUGCAGCGAUAACGCAGAUUGGACCAGAUAAUGUUCUCUUGGGAAAAACAGAAGACCCCAAGUCGUCCACCUCUCAUGGUAGUGUCGAUCACCACAUCGGAGUCGGCAACCAUCUCUGUCCCCUCAUACAACUUCACCCUGAAGCCAGGCACGGGACAAAACACCAACUAAAAACCUGAGGCCAAUUUAAACACGGUGGCAAGGAAACAACAGUUCAAAUGGAUGAUUUGGAUGAACAUGGAGGAGCGAAGCAGGCCCGGCCCAGCCCCUGGUCCCGACCAGCGCCUGAGAGCAGUGCUGUAGUGCUCCAUUGACUCCCCUGCACAGCAUACAAAGCAGGUGUCCCUCUGUUUGGAUCUGAAUAGGACCUCCCUGCCUCUAAGAAGGCCUGGUUUUCUCUCUCCACUCACUGCAGCCCACCACCACCUCCUCAGACAUCAACCUCCCCCAAACUCUCUCUUCUCUGGCUUUUUGGAACAAUUUUUUUUUGGAGAUGCUCAAAACAUUUGAAAAUGUGUCAGUGAUGUUUUUAGUCUGAUAAAGAUGUUUUUGGUAACUAUGUGCAUAA